Molecule: long non-coding RNA, 837 nt
Filed under: Homo sapiens (human)
Lineage: Eukaryota; Metazoa; Chordata; Mammalia; Primates; Hominidae
Description: HSALNT0322038
Source: RNAcentral
ACCAGACAGAUUUGGGAUUUCAGAACUUUUCAGAUGUUAGAAAGGGCAUGAGCAUGAAGAUGCUGACAAAGCUGUUCCUACACUUCCUGUGCUGGCUGGGAAGGGAUCUGAUUCGGGCUGAGCCUUAAGAAUCACAGUUCCAAGCUUUCUUCUCAUUCCAGAUUUUAGUCGGGAAAGUAGGCAUUCUGGAAGUAGAGUCCGUAUCUAUACUUUAUAUGUUCCCCUUAGGUUUGAUGAGCAAAAAGUAAUAAAGGAAACACAAACUCAGGAAAGAAAAGAUUUUUCUAGGAAAGAUCUAUUUACACUACUUAGGCCUCUACCCUUCUUCCCUUGGGAGUUUCUUAGCUUAGCUUGGAAGAUCACAGAUUAAAGUACAAUAUAGCAAGUAUUAUUAAAAACAACCUGUAAAACUGCAUUAUCCCAAAGAUUUAGCAGCUAAUUUUCUGUUGCCUUUAGUUCUCACAUCAUUUUUUUUUUCAGGGUAUAACCUUCUUUAAAUUUUAUGCCCUGCUCUCAAAUUCCUUCUGGGUUUAAUGACUAAUCUCUUUAUUUGUGUUUACCCUGGUGAAGCCUGUAGAAAGAAAAUCAUAAAUUAAUGGCAUAUAUUUGCAGCUAUAAACGGGACAGAUUCAGAAAUAUACAAACAUGCCUAGUAACCAAUUUCCUGAAAUUGCAAUGCUCAACUCCCAAUUAACCUUAGAAUUUACAAGUCUAAUCAAAUGGCCCAGUCCAUUUCCAUUGAAAAGCUGUGCACUGUGUAUAAUCUUUCACUUGACCUAAAUCUGUAGUAGACUUUGGGAAAUAAACUCCUUUGUGGAGCCAGUUGUUCUAUUGGAU